Non-coding RNA from Salmo salar (Atlantic salmon), 88 nucleotides. The record is from Rfam. Lineage: Eukaryota; Metazoa; Chordata; Actinopteri; Salmoniformes; Salmonidae.
CCCUCUGGCUCAGUUGGUAGAGCAUGGUGUUUGCAACGCCACCAUGGUGUGUGCAACGCCAGGGUUGUGGGUUUGAUUCCCAUGGGGG